UACGGAAGGCAGCAGUGGGGAAUAUUGCACAAUGGGCGAAAGCCUGAUGCAGCUAUGCCGCGUGUAUGAAGAAGGCCUUAGGGUUGUAAAGUACUUUCAUCGGGGAGGAAAAAACAAAACUAAUAAUUUUAUUUCUUGACGUUACCCGAAAAAGAAGCACCGGCUAACUCCGUGCCAGCAGCCGCGGUAAUACGGAGGGUGCUAGCGUUAAUCAGAAUUACUGGGCGUAAAGAGCACGUAGGUGGUUUUUUUAAGUCAGAUGUGAAAUCCCUGGGCUUAACCUAGGAACUGCAUUUUGAAACUGAAAUACUAGAGUAUCGUAGAGGGAGGUAGAAUUCUAGGUGUAGCGGUGAAAUGCGUAGAUAUCUGGAGGAAUACCUGUGGCGAAAGCGGCCUCCUAAACGAAUACUGACACUGAGGUGCGAAAGGCGUGGGGAGCAAACAGGGAUUAGAUACC
RNAcentral lists this ribosomal RNA (457 nucleotides) under uncultured bacterium. Its description in RNAcentral is "bacterial SSU rRNA". It matches the Rfam family "Bacterial small subunit ribosomal RNA", at positions 340 to 786 of the family's 1533-position model. The record is from RNAcentral.